GGCAAGGUGGCCGAGCGGUCUAAGGUUAGUUCCCCGCUUAUCACGCGUAGCGUGCGCGAGUUCGAAUCUCGCCCUUGUCA
RNAcentral lists this transfer RNA (80 nucleotides) under Aspergillus terreus NIH2624. RNAcentral describes it as "tRNA-Asp (ATC) (tRNA-Asp-ATC-2-1)". It matches the Rfam family "tRNA". Rfam says of the family: Transfer RNA (tRNA) molecules are approximately 80 nucleotides in length. Their secondary structure includes four short double-helical elements and three loops (D, anti-codon, and T loops). The record is from RNAcentral. Lineage: Eukaryota; Fungi; Ascomycota; Eurotiomycetes; Eurotiales; Aspergillaceae.